Columba livia (rock pigeon) is the source of this 821-nucleotide long non-coding RNA. RefSeq lists it as uncharacterized. The transcript is spliced from 2 exons. The record is from RefSeq and is a predicted model, not a curated record. NCBI's taxonomy places the organism in Eukaryota, Metazoa, Chordata, Aves, Columbiformes, Columbidae.
ACUGACCUUUGGCUUUAUAUCUUGGAAUGUCAAGAUUCUUUAAGUAUUCCCAAGCCUUCUUUUUGGCCUUUUCAAGACUUGGGUAUACACUAUUCUGCUUCUCAGGAAUGAUGUUACAUAAGUUUCUGCUAGACAUUUAAAGGAAUUCUGCCAGCAGUGUGGAAUGCCUGCAACAAGAACCUGCUGAAUGUGAUCUAUGGAGGUAUGCAGGUUACUUUUAAAGGCUUGGGGCCAGAUUCUGAGCUACCUAAGGUAGGUAGUCAAGCAGACAUCUGGUCAGCCUCUGAGACUGGUAUGUUGUGAAAGACCUGAAAUAUGAACAUCAAUUUGGGGCUAUAAGAUGUGCUUCUAAUUGCUAGAAAAUAUAGGGUAUUGAUUCUUUUUCCUUACAUCUUGAGAGGCACUGUUUAAGCUUAGCAUCUGCUCUGGUUGGUGUUUUUUUUGGUGGUGUGUUGUUUGUGAGUUUGUUUUGUUGAGGGGAGGGUUGUUUCUGUUGUUUUUUUCCAUGGGUAGUUGAGUUGGGAUACUGCUGCCUUUAGCCUAGACCAAGAUCAUUCUUGAUGAUAAACAAUUAUGAUUGUGUCUGCCUGCACAUACAUUGUCUGUCUUAGGUGCUAAUUUAAUUUAGAAUGUGAUGUUUUUUCCACCUACCUUUGCUCCUGCAGGUCACUUGGCUAAAAAAAAUGGUGCAUUUUGGCAUAUAACAAAAUGUAAGGGAGAGGGCAAUCAUUAAUUCAGCUCAGCAAGAAUAGACAUAGCUGAAGACCAUAAUCAUGUGGCUUUUCCUCCUGUAAUGUUUGCAAAUAAAUGUGUAAACAAAA